RNAcentral lists this long non-coding RNA (429 nucleotides) under Androctonus crassicauda. The record is from RNAcentral. Lineage: Eukaryota; Metazoa; Arthropoda; Arachnida; Scorpiones; Buthidae.
AAACAUGACAUAUCAGCAGAGCACAAAAAAUGUAUGGAACAUGACAGAUCCAUUUGGAAGCUAGAGGAGACUCCAAUGGCAAAAUGUGCAUCUUGUAUGUCAAAAAUAAUGUUUAAGCACAUGAAGUGCCUCUUUAACACAGCUUAUGUUAUUGCAGUAAGAGAGUUGCCAUUUAUAGACUUUCACACAAUAUGUGAACUGCAGAAGAAAAAAUGGUCUUGCCCUGGAGUAGGAAUACAUAAACGAUAAACACUGCAAAGAAUUCAUAGGUGUUUAUAGCAGCAGACAUCCAAAAUAAGCAUGUAGCCGAAUUAAGGAAAGCAUUUUCUUUUCACUCAUUUGAUUCAAGCACAACAAUCACAACAGAAGAGAUUGUAGCUAUUUGUGUAAGAUAUGUUAACAUACCAGAAAGUAGCAGUAAUAAUGCAA